Long non-coding RNA from Brassica napus (rape), 3320 nucleotides. RefSeq lists it as uncharacterized. NCBI's taxonomy places the organism in Eukaryota, Viridiplantae, Streptophyta, Magnoliopsida, Brassicales, Brassicaceae. The transcript has 2 exons. The record is from RefSeq and is a predicted model, not a curated record.
UUUUUAAAAGAUAUCAAAUAUCAAAUACUCAAACACUAUUAGUUGGUGAACUUAGAGGUUCACCCUAGGGGGUGAACCUAAGAAUUACUCACUUAUGUGUAAAACAUUCAUGAGAAAGAUAACAAAAAUGUCUUCUUGUUCGUAGGCCCAAGCCCCCUUUUCUCGCAGUUAUAGAUAUUUUACUGGACCUUGGCAUUUGAUUUUUUUCGAUUUGGUUUCGGGCUUUUGAGUUUUGGAGUUUUGAGUUUUGUGGGUGUUCGGUUUUGUGGUUCACGUUGGUAAAAUUUUAUAUUCGUUUAAAAGAUAUUAUAAGAAAGAUUGCAUGAGUAAUAAAUUCUUUUUUUUUUAUAACAUCAGAUUAAUAAAUUCUUAUUUAUCAAAAGGGAAAUGAUUAAAAUAUACUCCCUCGGUUCCACAAAUAUAUACUUUUUUAGUAUUUAAUAUAUUAAGAAAACACAUUAAACUUCCAUAAUAAAUGUAUUAUCUUCUGUAAUUUUGAAUUGGAUUAAACAUUUUUUUUUGCUCUGCUGAAUCGGAUUAAUCAUGAUAAAUACAUUGGUUGGUGGUUUGUGAAAUAUGGUAUGAUUGUUUGUUGAUUUUUACUCAUGUCUGAAUAGAAUUCAAUCGUAGUUUUGUGUUAGGUUAGCUAUUAAAUAGCUGCUUAAGUGGUUUGUGUGAGGUAAUGUUAGGUUUAGGUAAUAAAUUGAUUUAUAGUUGGACUGAAAUGAAUGGUGUUCUGUGUAGAAGGAGGUUGUGUGAUGAAUGCUUUUAGAUAUAUGUCUACUCGGUUAUGGUUGGUUGUGAUCAAUGCGUUGAUCCUUCUCUUCCUUACAUAAACCGCGUCUUUGAUCUCCUACUUUCUCACCUCACUUCUUUUCUUUAUCUCUUCCUUGUUCAAACCGUGUCUCUUCUCUUCCUACUUUCUCACCCUACUUCUUUUCUUUAUCUUUUCCUUGUUCAAACUGUGUGCUUCUCUUCCCUAGUUCAGUUCUUUUUUUCUCUCUUCCUUAAGCUUACUUCGGAUAUGGAUUCUUAUCCAUCUACCCAGAGUUCAAAAUUUGUUGAACUACUUCACAGACAACAAAGCAUUUCGUUCGGUAACUAUGAAAAUAGUGUCUCACUAUCUUCAUCACAACCUCUGUUUCAACGCACGCUAGGAACCGGAGAUGGAUUAUGUCUACCUAAUUUUUUUGUUUAAUGUGAGAGAGUGAACCAUUGGGAGCACCCGUGAGAGAGAGGUGGUCAUCAAUCACAAGCAGCGACAACAGUUUUGUAUCCUUGUGUCACACGACAGUGAGAGAGUGUGUGUGUUUGGGUCUGUGUGUUCUUGGGUCAGUGCUGUUAGAGUGGAGCAUUGGGUCAGUGUUGUUUGUAUUUGUAUGUGUCUGUUGUAUUCUUGUGUCACGAGAAUGUGUUGUGUCUGUGUGUUCAUGUGUCUAUUGUUUGUAUUUGUAUGUGUCACGGGAAUGUAUGUGUGUUUAGAGUGGAGCAUUGGGACAAUGAAUGUGUGUGUGGGCUCUUGUAUGUAUGUGUCACGAGAAUGUUUGCCGAACUCUUUCACACUUUAUAAAUCUGAUACAACAAUACUUUCUCUAUCUCACAACAUUUCACACUUCUCACCAUUCUCUUUCUCCAUAACAAUUCAUACGUCUAAUACAACAAAACUUUCUCCAUCUCACAACAUUUCACACUUCAAACCAUCCUCUUUCUCUAUUAUUCUCCUCAUCGAAAGCAAUUCAUACGUCUCUCCACAAUAUAUAAUCUGAAACAAGAAUCUGAAACAAACCUCUUAUGGCGUCAUCUUCUCACAACACUUUCGAAGGUAAUAUUGAUGAAACUUUCGAUCAAUAUUUUGAUCAAACUUUCGAUCAAACAUUUGAAAAUUUGUGCAAUGUUGAUGGUGAUCAAGAAGAUGAAAGGAAGACAAGGAAAAAAGGGUUUUUACCGAAAUAAAUCGUGAAGAUGGCCAUCUCCGGUUAUGGAAUGAUUAUUUCAGUGAUGUUGCAACAUAUCCCAAAAAUCUAUUCCGACGACGAUUUAGAAUGAACAAGGCAUUGUUCAUGCAUAUUGUUGAUCGCCUUUCCAAUGAAGUUCUGUUCUUUCGUCAAAAGAAGGACGGUAUCAGAAGGCUUGGUCUCUCUACACUUCAAAAGUGUACAGCAGCUAUAUGUGUGUUGGCAUAUGGUUAUGCGCUUGAUGCUGUCGGCGAAUACCUCAGGCUCGGUGCAACCACUGCUCGGUUAUGUGUGGAAAAUUUUGUGGAAGAAAUCAUAAAUUUGUUCGGCGAUGAGCACCUAAGAAGACCAACACCGGCUGAUAUUCAACGUCUACUUCAUAUUGGAGAGCUUCGUGGAUUUCCCGGGAUGAUAUGAAGCAUCAAUUGUAUGCAUUUGGAGUGGAAGAAUCGUUUUAGAGGCGGUUGCUUCAUAUGAUCUCUGGAUAUAGCAUGCGUUUUUCGGACGUCCAGGUAUCUUAAAUGAUAUCAAUGUUCUUGAUCGCUCACAUGUUUUUGAUGACAUAAUAAAUGGUAAAGCUCGGCAGGUGAAUUUCUCGGUCAACGGAAGAGAGUAUAAUUUGGCCUACUAUCUCACCGAUGGUAUUUAUCCGAAAUGGGCAACUUUUAUCAAAUCUAUUCCAAUUCCACAAGAAGCUGUCCGAAAAGAUGGGGAGCGUGCUUUCAGAGUCUUGUAAGCUCGAUUUACCAUUGUUAAAAAUCCAGCAUUUUCUUAGGAUAAAGUCAUGAUUGGGAAGAUUAUGAGAGCAUGUAUCAUACUCCAUAAUAUGAUUGUAGAAGAGAACGAGAUGAAUGCACUCAAUAUGAUGUUUCGGAUUUUCAACAAGGAGAAGGCAGCAGAAGUUCACAUGUCGAUCUCACCUAUUCGACAUAUAUCCCUACAAAUAUUGCCAAUCAAAUGGUGUUUGAACAAGAAUUCGUGAUAGACAAGCACAUCAACAACUGAAAGGUGAUUUGGUUGAACAUAUAUGGCGUAAAUUUGGACGUGAUGAAGACAACAACUGAACUUCGAUGCCUCUUUGAAAUUAUUAUCGUUUGACUUUAUUUUAUUUAAUAAGUAAAUUUAAUUUUUGUUCAAAAUUUUAUGUUUAAAAAUAAUUUUAAUAUUUGUUUUGGUUAAGAACCUUUAUUAAGAAACUACUAUUAAACCCCUAUAAUUAAGUGUAUCUUAGCAAAGUCUCUUAGUUUAAUGAUAACUAGACCUUGACCUGUCCGACCGGGCGGAUAUUUAUUUUAUGUUUUUAGUUUUUUUAGUUUAUAUUAAAUGAUGUAUUUGUAGUACUUAAAUAUAAAUUUAUAUUGAAAA